UGGGGAAUAUUGGACAAUGGGGGCAACCCUGAUCCAGCAAUGCCGCGUGGAUGAUGAAGGCCUUCGGGUUGUAAAGUCCUUUCGGCGGGGAAGAUGAUGACGGUACCCGCAGAAGAAGCCCCGGCUAACUUCGUGCCAGCAGCCGCGGUAAUACGAAGGGGGCUAGCGUUGUUCGGAAUUACUGGGCGUAAAGGGCGCGUAGGCUGUGCUGCAAGUCAGGCGUGAAAGGCCCGGGCUCAACCUGGGAACUGCGCAUGAUACUGCGGCGCUUGAAGACGGGAGAGGAUGGCGGAAUUCCCAGUGUAGAGGUGAAAUUCGUAGAUAUUGGGAAGAACACCGGUGGCGAAGGCGGCCAUCUGGCCCGUGAUUGACGCUGAGGCGCGAAAGCGUGGGGAGCAAACAGG
Molecule: ribosomal RNA, 404 nt
Filed under: Bacillota bacterium
Lineage: Bacteria; Bacillati; Bacillota
Description: Firmicutes bacterium partial 16S ribosomal RNA
Rfam family: Bacterial small subunit ribosomal RNA
Source: RNAcentral